RNAcentral lists this ribosomal RNA (253 nucleotides) under uncultured bacterium. Its description in RNAcentral is "partial 16S ribosomal RNA". It matches the Rfam family "Bacterial small subunit ribosomal RNA", at positions 524 to 776 of the family's 1533-position model. The record is from RNAcentral.
GACAGAGGUGCCAAGCGUUAGGCGGAAUCACUGGGCUUAAAGCGUGUGUAGGCGGGCGAUCAAGUACCUUGUGAAAUCCCACGGCUCAACCGUGGAACUGCUGGGUAUACUGGUUGUCUUGAGCCAGCUAGGGGCGAGCGGAACAGACGGUGGAGCGGUGAAAUGCGUAGAGAUCCGGAAGAACACCGGUGGCGAAGGCGGUCUGCUGGGGUAAUGCUGACACUGAUGCGCGACAGCGUGGGGAGCAAACAGG